GGGGGAUGCCACACAGUUUAAUGAGAGCUAGGCAGAUACUCUCCUCCAAUAGGAUGAAAUGUCCCAGGGUCAAGUAGAUGGAACAUACCUUUACAGGAGAAGCUGGGUUAAUAAAAACUAAUUGUCAGAAGACUGGAUAGACACCCAGCACUGGAAUGGAAGAUUAUGGCAGAGAAGGAUCGACCUGAGCUGGGAUGAAGUUGAGCCUUCCAAGCAUCUUCCCAAACUUUGGUUGGGUGGUGAAGAGGUUCUGGCAAUAGACUCCCAUGGUUUCACGUGAUUGUAAAACUUGUAAAAGUUUUGGGACCUGGAACUGCGAGGUUCACAGCCUACCUAUAUGGAGAUUGCUAGAGGAGACCCAGCAUAAGAAAACUGAAUACAGAAUACCAUAAACCACAGGCAUCCAAAUCUUUACUCAAUGGGAAGGAGAAAACUUCCUCAGGAGGCAGUGGACUUGCUUCACGUUGACUGGUGAGGGCAGCAGAGGGCUAUCAAGUGAACAUAGUUUAGAAUGUGGCCUAUGAGACCAUCAAAGCAACUUGGGCUUUCAGACUUUUACCAGGACCAACUCUAUUGACCUUCACUCAUCCCUUCUUAGUCCUCUGGUCUUGAACUGAGUGAUGUCAUCGACUUUCCAGGGCUUCAUCUCACAGAUACUGAUGGAACUGACUGAAGAAUUUUCAGCCUCUAUCAUCUCAGGAGGAGGGAAGCAGAUCUCUCAAUUGCAAAAACACACUGGAAUUUCAAUAAGUGAAAUAAUAAUUUCAAUUUCAACUGGCAACUGCUCCAAGUCUUUUUGGACUAACUGCUUAUCAUCUGGAUUUCAUGGAUCAGAUAUUAGAAGGAGCCUGAAUUACAAGUUUUGGUGAAAAGGAAAGAACUAAAUGCAUAACAUUUUUUUUUUGCUCCUUUAUAUUUUUGAAUCAUUUUUUCUAAUUCUUUUUAAAAAUUUUUAUUGGUUAUUUUAUUUAUUUACAUUUCAAAUGUUAUCCCCCUUCCUGUUUCCCCCUCUGCAAAUUUUAUCUUCCAGCAGAUUGUUUAUGCCCACAGAGUGAGAUGUCCUGUAACUUAUGCUGCCAUUACUGCUGGGGCCUCCUUGUGGCUACCAUUGUUGAUUUAAAAUCUUAAAAACAAAAACUAUAGCACGAGAAAAUAUGAAAUAAAAUGGACAUUUAGUG
Long non-coding RNA from Mus musculus (house mouse), 1178 nucleotides. RefSeq annotates it as predicted gene 4710. The transcript is spliced from 5 exons. The record is from RefSeq and is marked validated. NCBI's taxonomy places the organism in Eukaryota, Metazoa, Chordata, Mammalia, Rodentia, Muridae.